This 469-nucleotide ribosomal RNA is filed under the name uncultured bacterium. RNAcentral describes it as "partial 16S ribosomal RNA". It matches the Rfam family "Bacterial small subunit ribosomal RNA", at positions 28 to 507 of the family's 1533-position model. The record is from RNAcentral.
GACGAACGCUGGCGGCGUGCUUAACACAUGCAAGUCGAACGGAAAGGCCCUGCUUGCAGGGUGCUCGAGUGGCGAACGGGUGAGUAACACGUGGGUGAUCUGCCCCUUACUUUGGGAUAAGCCUGGGAAACUGGGUCUAAUACUGGAUAGGACCAUGCUGUAGGUGGUGUGGUGGAAAGAUUAGUUUCGGUAAGGGAUGAGCUCGCGGCCUAUCAGCUUGUUGGUGGGGUAAUGGCCUACCAAGGCGUCGACGGGUAGCCGGCCUGAGAGGGUGGACGGCCACAUUGGGACUGAGAUACGGCCCAGACUCCUGCGGGAGGCAGCAGUGGGGAAUAUUGCACAAUGGGCGCAAGCCGGAUGCAGCGACGCCGCGUGGGGGAUGACGGCCUUCGGGUUGUAAACUCCUUUCAGCCAUGACGAAGCCCUUGUGGUGACGGUAGUGGUAGAAGAAGCACCGGCUAACUACGUG